UGGAGAGUUUGAUCCUGGCUCAGGGUGAACGCUGGCGGCGUGCUUAAGACAUGCAAGUCGAACGGGCUCUUCGGAGCCAGUGGCGCACGGGUGAGUAACGCGUAACUGACCUACCCCAAAGUCGCGGAUAACGAUUCGAAAGAAUCGCUAAUACGUGAUGUGCUGCYMSMUCGUGUGGKRYCAGUAAAGAUUGAUUGCUUUGGGAUGGGGUUGCGUUCCAUCAGCUAGUUGGUGGGGUAAAGGCCCACCAAGGCGACGACGGAUAGCCGGCCUGAGAGGGUGGCCGGCCACAGGGGCACUGAGACACGGGUCCCACUCCUACGGGAGGCAGCAGUUAGGAAUCUUCCACAAUGGGCGAAAGCCUGAUGGAGCGACGCCGCGUGAGGGAUGAAGGUCUUCGGAUCGUAAACCUCUGAAUCAGGGACGAAAGACACUUUAUGUGGGAUGACGGUACCUGAGUAAUAGCACCGGCUAACUCCGUGCCAGCAGCCGCGGUA
RNAcentral lists this ribosomal RNA (497 nucleotides) under Deinococcus grandis. RNAcentral describes it as "bacterial SSU rRNA". It matches the Rfam family "Bacterial small subunit ribosomal RNA", at positions 1 to 522 of the family's 1533-position model. The record is from RNAcentral. Lineage: Bacteria; Thermotogati; Deinococcota; Deinococci; Deinococcales; Deinococcaceae.